Molecule: ribosomal RNA, 445 nt
Filed under: uncultured bacterium
Lineage: Bacteria
Description: partial 16S ribosomal RNA
Rfam family: Bacterial small subunit ribosomal RNA
Source: RNAcentral
GUAAGGAAUAUUGGUCAAUGGACGAAAGUCUGAACCAGCCAUGCCGCGUGAAGGAUGAAGGCCCUCUGGGUUGUAAACUUCUUUUAUCUGGGACGAAAAAAGGGUAUUCUUACUCACUUGACGGUACCAGAGGAAUAAGCACCGGCUAACUCCGUGCCAGCAGCCGCGGUAAUACGGAGGGUGCAAGCGUUAUCCGGAUUCACUGGGUUUAAAGGGUGCGUAGGUGGGUAUUUAAGUCAGUGGUGUAAUCUCCGAGCUUAACUCGGAAACUGCCAUUGAUACUAUUUACCUUGAAUGCCCUGGAGGUAAGCGGAAUAUGUCAUGUAGCGGUGAAAUGCUUAGAUAUGACAUAGAACACCAAUUGCGAAGGCAGCUUACUACGGGGUGAUUGACACUGAGGCACGAAAGCGUGGGGAGCAAACAGGAUUAGAUACCCUUGUAGUCC